RNAcentral lists this ribosomal RNA (228 nucleotides) under Triticum aestivum (bread wheat). RNAcentral's name for it is "partial small subunit ribosomal RNA". Lineage: Eukaryota; Viridiplantae; Streptophyta; Magnoliopsida; Poales; Poaceae. The record is from RNAcentral.
AUGUGCCGGAACCUGACCUCUAUCUCCUCAAACUUCUGGUGGGGAUCGGCCCAUGGAGAAAACAAGGUGCACUGGGUAGCCUGGGACAAAAUGUGCUUGUCAAAGCGAGAUGGCGGUAUGGGGUUCCGUAACUUUGAGGUCUUCAACCAGGCUUUGUUGGGCAAGCAAGCCUGGAGGAUUUUACAAACCCUGGACUCGCAAGAUAUUUCAAAGACUCCUCAAUUAUGA